Non-coding RNA from Benincasa hispida (wax gourd), 2406 nucleotides. Lineage: Eukaryota; Viridiplantae; Streptophyta; Magnoliopsida; Cucurbitales; Cucurbitaceae. The record is from RefSeq and is a predicted model, not a curated record.
CGAUGUGUUAUGUGGUUGAAGACAAGUAAAAAUAAAGAAUGUGAGUGAGAUAAGUGAGAAUUACUAGAGAGAGCGACACCGAAUAAAGCGACACCGGAUAGAGCGAUACUGGAAAGAGCGACACUGGAGAUAGCAAUACCGGAGAAAGCGACACCGGAGAAAGCGAUACCAGAGAAAGCGAUACCGGAGAGAGCGACACUGGAGAGAGCGAUACCUUAAAGAGCGAUACCGAUGAGAGCGAAUCCAGCGAGAUUUAAACAUAAUGUUGUUUUACAAUUUUUUUUUUCUGAAGAAGUUUACUGAUUGAAUCUUUAUUUCAUGCAGGAAUGAUUUAAGAUGGCAACACGUUUUAGAAUACCCGUAGCCGACCGAUUUCCCGAUCAAGUAACAAGCUUGGCUCAUAUUGCUAAUGCAAACAAGAUUGUGAAGGAGAAGCUUACGCCAAGGCAGUUAGACAUGUUCAAGAGAACAGUUUUUGGGCGAUUUGUAGACGUUGACAUGGUGUUUAACAACCCAAUUAUCCAUCACAUAUUGCUGAGAGAAGUGAAGAGGACGAGGUCAGACUAGAUGUCAUUCUCUAUUUGUGGAAAGGUUGUCACUAUUUCGAAUGAUGUUUUUUUGUCGAUGACUGGUUUGUGGCAACUGGCAAUACCCAACACGAGUUGAUCAGAAUCAACAUUCCUCGUAUGAACUUACAAUCAAGUAUUUUGGUAAUCGAGUGACAAAGGACACCUUACAUCUCCAUCAACUUGAAGAAAAAUACAAGGAGUUGGAGUUUGAAAAUGAUGAGGAUGCUGUGAAUAUUACAGUAGUCUACUAUACUGAGGUUGCAAUGAUGGGGAAAAAACAAACAAAAAAAUGCAGUGGACCUCAGACAUUUUAAGGAUGUUCAAAACUUGGAAUAUUACAACAGUCUUGAUUGGGAUACCAUUAUUUAGGAGAGUACACUGGAUACCCUAAAGACUGCAUUGAAUGAUAAGAGCAGUCUGUACAAGAUGAAUGUCAAAGGAAAUAAAAAUUAUGUUGUGAAGUACUCUUUACGUGGACUUCCACAAGCGUUCCAGGUAUGGACGUACGAGAUCCUAGCUGCAUCAAUAGCUGGGAACAUUGCAGAGCGAAGGAGCAAGGUGGCUUUGUCCUGCAUAUUCCGAUGGUCAUGCUCCCACUCAGUGUCCUUCAAAGUACUCGAGAGAGAGAUAUUUGAGUCUAACAAUAUUCUAAAAGGGAGUUUCGGGAUACCCCAGUAGACAGACGACCUAUAUUUCAUCUAGGUGCGGAUGAUGAUAGUUCUGAAAGUGGCAAUAGGUCGACUAGUGAUGAGGGUAGUUCUGAAAGUGAAAGUGACGGUGAUAAUCAUCGUGUAGAUGACAAUUAUGAAGUUGUCAGGGUGAAGGGAGAGAAUGAACCUGAGCAUUCUGAGCACGAGGAUGCUGAAUAUGGAAGGGUGGAAGGAGGGACAUACACACCUAGUGAUGAUAUGUUCUAUGAUGUGAUGGGGGACGUACGCGAUGAGAACGAGUUGAACCAACUUGAUGUCUAUCUUGCAGGCUCCUGCAGAGAGCGAUCUGUGGAUGAGAAGUGUCCUGAAUGUGUUGUCCGCCGCAGGGAGGGAGCCAAUCCCGACGAUUCUAUUUAUUCGUUCCUACGGACCAUUGACAGCUCAUUAUCGAGGUUGGAUGGCCAUAUAUCGGAUUUAAAUAGUCGUUAUUCAAUAUGGAGGAAAACAUGACGGACUGAAAGAGCAAUUGUCGAUCGUCCUGUCACUGUUGCAGUCUAUGUGCAAGGGUUCCACGGUGAAUGAGGAGAUGACAAGGUCACCCAUCCCAUCUCGGGAUCCCGAUACCAAUAAUGUGACUGCCUCCGACACUCUCAUCCCCCUCUACAGUCCGAUAUCACCACAACAUCACCAACUAACAUCGAACCUAUAGAGACCGACAUCCCACAAACAGAGCUCGACAUGUCUGCCUUACUCACCAUGCCAUAUAUAGAGGCUGACAUGUCUGGCAUCCCAUAGGCCGACACUUCUGGGAUUGUUACGACCACAUAAGGAGUUACACUAGAAUCUCAAAGAAUUAGUCGUAAGAGGAAACCUAUUGAUAAAUAUACACCUCUGGCUCAAGUAAAGAAGAAAAGUUUGGUUAAGCAUCCUCUCCCAAGUGUAGCUACGUCACUAUCCAGAGCGAUCGUCACAUGCAAAGUAGCACAUGAUGUUCCACACAAUAUCCUUACAGAAAUGAUGGGCUGGCUCUCGGACGAGAAUAUCGACAACGAGGUUCGAGAGAACUUCUUUAAACCACUCGUCAAGCAAUUCUUCAAGGAAUUGAUUUCCCCGAGUUCGUGGGUCGAGUGCGAUGUAAGUUUCCUAGUCUUAACUUCUUUACAUGUUAGCUAUCUUGUAUUUUUACU